UACCGGAUGGUUCCGCUGCUGCCCAUCGGCCGGACCCUCCCGCUGGCCGGUGUGACCCUGACUCUGUGCCGGGUCUGAGGAUGCCCUCCGUCGUCACCCCUUAUAACGUGUUACCCCCUUUGGGACUACGUCGCUGCGGCGCACUCCCUACUGCCGGAAGCCCAACAUUUGGAGAAAGUCGUCCCUUCUUCGGGGGAAACCCCCACUGCCAUGGACGUCUUCUUCAUGGCCGAUUGAUGCACGGUCGUCGGCGCCAUUAUGCAUCCCAUGUUCGCAACAGGCCUUAAUAACCCGCAUUUCUCGAGCAUCCGCCAAGCAGCGCAGACGACACCUUUGCGUUCCGAGUUGGAACGCGCACGUCGCCCAUGCCCGCAUUGAUCUCACGUCAUCCCCUCAGACCUUAAGGACCACAUCGCCACUUUACGCGUCUAUAGUCCUCCUUGUGGCCACCGCUUCCGCCCUGAGACCCGACAAUGACUGCGACUCCUCGCUUUCGUACCCCUCGCUUGUCCUAAUCUAUGGGACCAUCAGGUACGGCAUUUGCAACCCGUGAUCCACACCCCGAGUAAGGUGCUCAAGGCACGGCGUCGAUUGCGUAAUUCACGGGGCG
Molecule: ribosomal RNA, 610 nt
Filed under: uncultured Bacillota bacterium
Lineage: Bacteria; Bacillati; Bacillota
Description: uncultured Firmicutes bacterium partial 16S ribosomal RNA
Source: RNAcentral